RNAcentral lists this ribosomal RNA (418 nucleotides) under Arthropoda sp. MM00123. RNAcentral describes it as "SSU rRNA". It matches the Rfam family "Eukaryotic small subunit ribosomal RNA", at positions 592 to 998 of the family's 1831-position model. The record is from RNAcentral. Lineage: Eukaryota; Metazoa; Arthropoda.
CAAUAGCGUAUAUUAAAGUUGUUGCGGUUAAAAAGCUCGUAGUUGGAUUUCAGUUCUGGACUGACGGUUCACCGCCCGGUGCACACUGUCACGCUCCGAACAGCCACAACAGCCCGCUGGCUCGCACGGGGUGCUCUUCAUCGAGUGUCCCGCGUGGCCGGCAGAGUUUACUUUGAAAAAAUUAGAGUGCUCAAAGCAGGCUACACUUACGGCCUGAAUGCCUAUGCAUGGAAUAAUGGAAUAGGACCUCGGUUCUAUUUUGUCGGUUUUCUGAACCCGAGGUAAUGACUAAUAGGAACAGGCGGGGGCAUUCGUAUUGCGACGCUAGAGGUGAAAUUCUUGGACCGUCGCAAGACGAACUACUGCGAAAGCAUUUGCCAAGGAUGUUUUCAUUAAUCAAGAACGAAAGUUAGAGGUU